Molecule: ribosomal RNA, 607 nt
Filed under: uncultured Alternaria
Lineage: Eukaryota; Fungi; Ascomycota; Dothideomycetes; Pleosporales; Pleosporaceae
Description: eukaryotic LSU rRNA
Rfam family: 5.8S ribosomal RNA (bases 233-386)
Source: RNAcentral
CUUGGUCAUUUAGAGGAAGUAAAAGUCGUAACAAGGUCUCCGUAGGUGAACUGCGGAGGGAUCAUUACACAAAUAUGAAGGCGGGCUGGAACCUCUCGGGGUUACAGCCUUGCUGAAUUAUUCACCCUUGUCUUUUGCGUACUUCUUGUUUCCUUGGUGGGUUCGCCCACCACUAGGGCAAACAUAAACCUUUUGUAAUUGCAAUCAGCGUCAGUAACAAAUUAAUAAUUACAACUUUCAACAACGGAUCUCUUGGUUCUGGCAUCGAUGAAGAACGCAGCGAAAUGCGAUAAGUAGUGUGAAUUGCAGAAUUUAGUGAAUCAUCGAAUCUUUGAACGCACAUUGCGCCCUUUGGUAUUCCAAAGGGCAUGCCUGUUCGAGCGUCAUUUGUACCCUCAAGCUUUGCUUGGUGUUGGGCGUCUUGUCUCUAGCUUUGCUGGAGACUCGCCUUAAAGUAAUUGGCAGCCGGCCUACUGGUUUCGGAGCGCAGCACAAGUCGCACUCUCUAUCAGCAAAGGUCUAGCAUCCAUUAAGCCUUUUUUUCAACUUUUGACCUCGGAUCAGGUAGGGAUACCCGCUGAACUUAAGCAUAUCAAUAAGCGGAGGA